GGCGAGAUGGCCGAGUUGGUCUAAGGCGUGAGACUAAGGUUGUUUAUCUCAUCUCUUCGGGGGCGUGGGUUCAAAUCCCACUCUCGUCA
Sphaerobolus stellatus SS14 is the source of this 89-nucleotide transfer RNA. It matches the Rfam family "tRNA". Rfam says of the family: Transfer RNA (tRNA) molecules are approximately 80 nucleotides in length. Their secondary structure includes four short double-helical elements and three loops (D, anti-codon, and T loops). Lineage: Eukaryota; Fungi; Basidiomycota; Agaricomycetes; Geastrales; Sphaerobolaceae. The record is from Rfam.